UACGUAGGGGGCAAGCGUUGUCCGGAAUCAUUGGGCGUAAAGGGCUCGUAGGCGGCCAACUAAGUCAUACGUGAAAUCCCUCAGCUAAACUGGGGAACUGCGUGUGAUACUGGAUGGCUUGGAUUUGGGAGAGGGAUGCGGAAUUCCAGGUGUAGCGGUGAAAUGCGCAGAUAUCAGGAGGAACACCGAUGGCGAAGGCAGGUCUCUGGGCAUUAACUGACGCUGAGGAGCGAAAGCAUGGGGAGCGAACAGG
RNAcentral lists this ribosomal RNA (253 nucleotides) under uncultured bacterium. Its description in RNAcentral is "partial 16S ribosomal RNA". It matches the Rfam family "Bacterial small subunit ribosomal RNA", at positions 524 to 776 of the family's 1533-position model. The record is from RNAcentral.